CCUACGGGUGGCAGCAGUGAGGAAUAUUGGUCAAUGGACGCGAGUCUGAACCAGCCAAGUAGCGUGAAGGAUGACUGCCCUAUGGGUUGUAAACUUCUUUUAUAUGGGAAUAAAAUGUUCCACGUGUGGGAUUUUGUAUGUACCAUAUGAAUAAGGAUCGGCUAACUCCGUGCCAGCAGCCGCGGUAAUACGGAGGAUCCGAGCGUUAUCCGGAUUUAUUGGGUUUAAAGGGAGCGUAGGUGGAGGGUUAAGUCAGUUGUGAAAGUUUGCGGCUCAACCGUAAAAUUGCAGUUGAAACUGGUAGGCUAGAGUAUAGUAGAGGUGGGCGGAAUGCGUGGUGUAGCGGUGAAAUGCUUAGAGAUCACGAAGAACUCCGAUUGCGAAGGCAGUUCAC
RNAcentral lists this ribosomal RNA (394 nucleotides) under uncultured bacterium. RNAcentral's name for it is "partial 16S ribosomal RNA". It matches the Rfam family "Bacterial small subunit ribosomal RNA", at positions 338 to 729 of the family's 1533-position model. The record is from RNAcentral.